Molecule: ribosomal RNA, 523 nt
Filed under: Escherichia coli
Lineage: Bacteria; Pseudomonadati; Pseudomonadota; Gammaproteobacteria; Enterobacterales; Enterobacteriaceae
Also listed under: 2 other names
Description: bacterial SSU rRNA
Rfam family: Bacterial small subunit ribosomal RNA
Source: RNAcentral
GAGAUGAGAAUGUGCCUUCGGGAACCGUGAGACAGGUGCUGCAUGGCUGUCGUCAGCUCGUGUUGUGAAAUGUUGGGUUAAGUCCCGCAACGAGCGCAACCCUUAUCCUUUGUUGCCAGCGGUCCGGCCGGGAACUCAAAGGAGACUGCCAGUGAUAAACUGGAGGAAGGUGGGGAUGACGUCAAGUCAUCAUGGCCCUUACGACCAGGGCUACACACGUGCUACAAUGGCGCAUACAAAGAGAAGCGACCUCGCGAGAGCAAGCGGACCUCAUAAAGUGCGUCGUAGUCCGGAUUGGAGUCUGCAACUCGACUCCAUGAAGUCGGAAUCGCUAGUAAUCGUGGAUCAGAAUGCCACGGUGAAUACGUUCCCGGGCCUUGUACACACCGCCCGUCACACCAUGGGAGUGGGUUGCAAAAGAAGUAGGUAGCUUAACCUUCGGGAGGGCGCUUACCACUUUGUGAUUCAUGACUGGGGUGAAGUCGUAACAAGGUAACCGUAGGGGAACCUGCGGUUGGAUCAC